Molecule: transfer RNA, 74 nt
Filed under: Candidatus Zambryskibacteria bacterium RIFCSPHIGHO2_01_FULL_39_63
Lineage: Bacteria; Candidatus Zambryskiibacteriota
Also listed under: 3 other names
Description: tRNA-Gly
Rfam family: tRNA
About the family: Transfer RNA (tRNA) molecules are approximately 80 nucleotides in length.
Source: RNAcentral
GCGAGAUUAGUUUAGUGGUAAAAUGGGUGCUUCCCAAGCAUCAGACGCGAGUCCGAUUCUCGCAUCUCGCACAA